UACGUAGGGUGCAGACGUUAAUCGGAAUUACUGGGCGUAAAGCGUGCGCAGGCGGUUUGCUAAGAGAGAUGUGAAAUCCCCGGGCUUAACCUGGGAACUGCGUUUCUAACUGGCAGGCUUGAGUGUGGCAGAGGGGGGUGGAAUUCCACGUGUAGCAGUGAAAUGCGUAGAUAUGUGGAGGAACACCGAUGGCGAAGGCAGCCCCCUGGGCUAACACUGACGCUCAUGCACGAAAGCGUGGGGAGCAAACAGG
This 253-nucleotide ribosomal RNA is filed under the name uncultured bacterium. RNAcentral describes it as "partial 16S ribosomal RNA". It matches the Rfam family "Bacterial small subunit ribosomal RNA", at positions 524 to 776 of the family's 1533-position model. The record is from RNAcentral.